GAUGAACGCUGGCGGCGUGUCUAAGGCAUGCAAGUCAAACGGGUGCAUUGCGAUUACCUCAAGAUGUACCAGUGGCAAACGGGUGCGUAACACAUUGGUAACCUGCCUCGAAGACGUGAAUAACCUGCCGAAAGGCGGGCUAAAACGCGAUACGGAUGCGGGGGCGCAAGCCAUUCGCAUUGAAAAGUCGUAAGACGCUUCGAGAGGGGCCUAUGGUCUAUCAGCUAGUUGGUGAGGUAACGGCUCACCAAGGCUACGACGGAUAGCAGGCGUGAGAGCGCGACCUGCCUCAGUGGGACUGAGACACUGCCCACACUCCUACGGGAGCUGCAGUCAAGAAUCUUCCUCAAUGGGCAAAGCCUGAAGGAGCGACGCCGCGUGCCAGAUGAAG
RNAcentral lists this ribosomal RNA (391 nucleotides) under uncultured bacterium. Its description in RNAcentral is "bacterial SSU rRNA". It matches the Rfam family "Bacterial small subunit ribosomal RNA", at positions 28 to 413 of the family's 1533-position model. The record is from RNAcentral.